UUAUUGUGUAUAAGAUGUCGGUAAUUAGAAGAAAACCCUAAUUACUGUUGUAUGUCGAUAAUUAGGACAAACCCUAAUUAUUAUAACCCUAAUCGGCUGAAGUUAGAGAUCGUAAUGACUAUGUUAGAACAUACACAGAUAAUUAGAGAACCCUAAUGGUCAAUUAGAAACCCUAAUUGAUGGCGUUAAGAAACCCUAAUU
This 201-nucleotide long non-coding RNA is filed under the name Panax ginseng (ginseng). RNAcentral describes it as "long non-coding RNA (PGIN_LNC018990)". Lineage: Eukaryota; Viridiplantae; Streptophyta; Magnoliopsida; Apiales; Araliaceae. The record is from RNAcentral.